CAUGCAAGUCGAACGGUGAAGCAGAGCUUGCUCUGUGGAUCAAUGGCGAACGGGUGAGUAACACGUGAGCAACCUGCCCUGGACUCUGGGAUAAGCGCUGGAAACGGCGUCUAAUACUGGAUAUGAGAUGCGAUCGCAUGGUCGUGUUUGGAAAGAUUUUUCGGUCUGGGAUGGGCUCGCGGCCUAUCAGCUUGUUGGUGAGGUAAUGGCUCACCAAGGCGUCCACGGGUAGCCGGCCUGAGAGGGUGACCGGCCACACUGGGACUGAGACACGGCCCAUACUCCUACGGGAGGCAGCAGUGGGGAAUAUUGCACAAUGGGCGAAAGCCUGAUGCAGCAACGCCGCGUGAGGGAUGACGGCCUUCGGGUUGUAAACCUCUUUUGGUAGGGAAGAAGCCUUCGGGUGACGGUACCUGCAGAAAAAGCGCCGGCUAACUACGUGCCAGCAGCCGCGGUAAUACGUAGGGCGCAAGCGUUAUCCGGAAUUAUUGGGCGUAAAGAGCUCGUAGGCGGUCUGUCGCGUCUGCUGUGAAAUCCCGAGGCUCAACCUCGGGCUUGCAGUGGGUACGGGCAGACUAGAGUGCGGUAGGGGAGAUUGGAAUUCCUGGUGUAGCGGUGGAAUGCGCAGAUAUCAGGAGGAACACCGAUGGCGAAGGCAGAUCUCUGGGCCGUUACUGACGCUGAGGAGCGAAAGGGUGGGGAGCAAACAGGCUUAGAUACCCUGGUAGUCCACCCCGUAAACGUUGGGAACUAGUUGUGGGGUCCUUUCCACGGAUUCCGUGACGUAGCUUACGCAUUAAGUUCCCCGCCUGGGGAGUACGGCCGCAGGGCUAAAACUCAAAGGAAUUGACGGGGACCCGCACAAGCGGCGGAGCAUGCGGAUUAAUUCGAUGCACGCGAAGAACCCUCACCCAAGGCUUGACAUACACCAGUACGGGCCAGAAAUGCUCAACUCUUUGGACACUGGUGAACAGGUGGUGCAUGGCUCGUCG
This 992-nucleotide ribosomal RNA is filed under the name Microbacterium sp. EGY-SCF3. RNAcentral's name for it is "bacterial SSU rRNA". It matches the Rfam family "Bacterial small subunit ribosomal RNA", at positions 54 to 1054 of the family's 1533-position model. Lineage: Bacteria; Bacillati; Actinomycetota; Actinomycetes; Micrococcales; Microbacteriaceae. The record is from RNAcentral.